GAGGGGGGGCGGCCUACACAUGCAGUCGAACGAGACCUUCGGGUCUAGUGGCGCACGGGUGCGUAACGCGUGGGAAUCUGCCCUUGGGUUCGGAAUAACUCAGAGAAAUUUGAGCUAAUACCGGAUGAUGUCGUAAGACCAAAGAUUUAUCGCCCAAGGAUGAGCCCGCGUAGGAUUAGCUAGUUGGUGAGGUAAAGGCUCACCAAGGCGACGAUCCUUAGCUGGUCUGAGAGGAUGAUCAGCCACACUGGGACUGAGACACGGCCCAGACUCCUACGGGAGGCAGCAGUGGGGAAUAUUGGACAAUGGGCGAAAGCCUGAUCCAGCAAUGCCGCGUGAGUGAUGAAGGCCUUAGGGUUGUAAAGCUCUUUUACCCGGGAUGAUAAUGACAGUACCGGGAGAAUAAGCUCCGGCUAACUUCGUGCCAGCAGCCGCGGUAAUACGAGGGGAGCUAGCGUUAUUCGGAAUUACUGGGCGUAAAGCGCACGUAGGCGGCUUUGUAAGUUAGAGGUGAAAGCCCAGAGCUCAACUCUGGAAUUGCCUUUAAGACUGCAUCGCUUGAAUCCAGGAGAGGUGAGUGGAAUUCCGAGUGUAGAGGUGAAAUUCGUAGAUAUUCGGAAGAACACCAGUGGCGAAGGCGGCUCACUGGACUGGGUAUUGACGCUGAGGUGCGAAAGCGUGGGGAGCAAACAGGGAUUAGAUACCCUGGUAGUCCACGCCGUAAACGAUGAUAACUAGCUGUCCGGGCACUUGGUGCUUGGGUGGCGCAGCUAACGCAUUAAGUUAUCCGCCUGGGGAGUACGGUCGCAAGAUUAAAACUCAAGGAAUUUGACGGGGGCCUGCACAAGCGGUGGGAGCAUGGUGGUUUAAAUUCGAAGCAACGCGCAGAACCUUUACCCAGCGUUUGGACAUGUCCCGGACGAUUUCCCAGAGAUGGGAUUCUUCUUCCCUUUCGGGGACUGCACACAGGUGCUGCAUGGCUGUCGGUCAGCUUCGGUGUCGUGGGAGAAUGGUUGGUAAGUUCCCGGCACAGAGCGCAGCCCUCGACCUUAGGUUACCAUCAAUUAGUUGGUACCUCUUAAUGGCAAUG
Molecule: ribosomal RNA, 1090 nt
Filed under: Sphingomonas sp.
Lineage: Bacteria; Pseudomonadati; Pseudomonadota; Alphaproteobacteria; Sphingomonadales; Sphingomonadaceae
Description: bacterial SSU rRNA
Rfam family: Bacterial small subunit ribosomal RNA
Source: RNAcentral